GACGGAGGGUGCUAGCGUUGUUCGGAAUUACUGGGCGUAAAGCGUGCGCAGGCGGUUGGCAAAGUCAGCUGUGAAAGCCCCGGGCUCAACCUGGGAAUUGCGGUUGAAACUAGUCGACUAGAAUCUGGCAGAGGGGGGUGGAAUUCCACGUGUAGCAGUGAAAUGCGUAGAGAUGUGGAGGAACACCGAUGGCGAAGGCAGCCCCCUGGGCUGAGAUUGACGCUCAGGCACGAAAGCGUGGGGAGCAAACAGG
RNAcentral lists this ribosomal RNA (253 nucleotides) under uncultured bacterium. RNAcentral's name for it is "partial 16S ribosomal RNA". It matches the Rfam family "Bacterial small subunit ribosomal RNA", at positions 524 to 776 of the family's 1533-position model. The record is from RNAcentral.